CCACCAGUAUUCAAAUAUUUAUGUAUUAUAGCUUACACAGAUUGUUAAACCAAAGUUAACGUCAACCUUGAGAUUUGUGUUUAUGGAUGUUAUCCUACAGGAUGAUUAUAAACAUCGCAGUUUAUGCAAGAUUUGCAAAAUGUACGUGGCUGGAAUAGCAUGGAUAUCGAUAGUACUUUAUGCAUCAUUCAUAUAAGUUAUAAUUGUGGGAACUUACAGUCAGAAGGAUGUCGUUCAACUUGCAAUUACCAGAGCACACUUGAGGGAUAACUCGAGUUAUAGUGCAUCCAGUCUGAACUAUGGUAAGGUCCCGGUUGAACAUCAGAUGGAAUGGAAAAACUCGGCAAAAGGUCAUAGGGCUCACUUUUGGUUCUACGGCAUCGACAGAUAAGGUUUCAAGUUCCGCGAUCAUGGGAUUUGAAACGACCCCAGGACCGGAUGUGUUCGUGAUCAAAAACUGCACGUGGUCGCAUUCGUUUUUCGUCUUCAAUAUCCGCAUUUCUAUAUCCGUGCCGUGAAGCUUCUUCGCCACAGUCUAAGAUCGAUAAAAUUUAUAACCGAUUUAAUAACCGUUUGCUUUUAUCUGAAUGAAUUUUAGGGUGGAAAUUAAAUAUUACAGGUUGGUUAAUUCAGACAGUCGUUCUCUCUAAAAUACGCGCAGUUCAAAAUUCAGGAUCUUAUGGCGGAAAAUUAGAUUUGGAUAAAUAGAGCACGAGAUCUUCGUGCUGUGGAAGAUACUGCCACUCUCUUUUAUUUCCCAUCCAUUUCAAUCUCUAUAAUUGCUGUUUGUACUCGUAUUUGAUAUCAUUAAAGAAAUACAAUAUGGAUCGAGAUUUCUUUCAUUAAUUUUAUUUCAAUUUCGAUACUUCCUACAGUCUUGCACGUUAUACGCAUUAUGUCCAUUUUUUGCACAUCUGAAUUUUCUAUGAACUCAUAAACAUUCGCAGUUUACUCCGUAAUUUAAAAACUUCAAAUUGCAAAAAUGUAAGACCAUAAAGGAAGAACAUUACUUUUUUAAGUAUUAACAAACUACGAUGCUCAAUUUUCACCCGAUAUAUCUUUGAACGAUAAAAAUACCUUGACGAUACCAAUCACAAUGUGUUCCAAACCAGGUCGAUCGGAGUAAUAAUGUAAUAUGAGCGCUCCAUCCCCUGGUCUCUCGGUGCACCGAAAAGAGGGCGCCCUCAUUCCCGGAUACAAAGUGCCUAAAUGAUCGUGAAGGGCGUCCAAGUUCUGUAAUUAAAGGUUACACGGUCCCCUGUCAAUCUAUCUGUGCUCUCGCCAUUAUCGAACAUCGCGUUCCGCCUAACUAAAACAUUCCUAUGUCCCUAAUUUAUUUUCGAUUGCCACUUUGCG
Molecule: unclassified non-coding RNA, 1356 nt
Filed under: Bombus terrestris (buff-tailed bumblebee)
Lineage: Eukaryota; Metazoa; Arthropoda; Insecta; Hymenoptera; Apidae
Description: misc RNA ENSBTSG00005035712.1
Source: RNAcentral